Molecule: ribosomal RNA, 397 nt
Filed under: uncultured soil bacterium
Lineage: Bacteria
Description: bacterial SSU rRNA
Rfam family: Bacterial small subunit ribosomal RNA
Source: RNAcentral
AGAGUGAACGCUGGCGGUAGGCCUAACACAUGCAAGUCGAACGGCAGCACGGUAAGAGCUUGCUCUUAUGGGUGGCGAGUGGCGGACGGGUGAGGAAUACAUCGGAAUCUACCUUUUGGUGGGGGAUAACGUAGGGAAACUUACGCUAAUACCGCAUACGCCCUUCGGGGGAAAGCCGGGGACCAGCAAUGGCCUGGUGCUGAUAGAUGAGCCGAUGUCGGAUUAGCUAGUUGGUGAGGUAAUGGCUCACCGAAGGCGACGAUCCGUAGCUGGUCUGAGAGGAUGAUCAGCCACACUGGAACUGACGACACGGUCCAGACCUCCGUACGGGAGCAGCAGGUGGGAAUGUGGACAGUGGGCGCAAGCUAGACUCCGAGCCACUACCGGCGGUAGGGUA